GUGGAUGUACAGAGAGAACACAGAGAUCAAAUAGGUUUCAUCUAAUGUAGUUUACUCCUGCAUUGGCUUUAUGAAGAAAACACCCCAGUCAAAUCCCUGCCAGGAAUUAGGAAAACACCUUUUAAUUGCCUCUCAUCAGCAUACAGGAAAUUGGCCCCGGCUGAUCCCUGUCGAUGGCCCCCGGCCCCCCGCCGGUAAACUCUCCUAUCCCAGAAUGAGCCCCCACCCUCCUGGCGUAACAGCCAAUAAAUCGCUCCCCGCGGACCAGCAGCUCAGUGCUUUUCACACUGCGGCUCUCAGGGUCACGGGGUCACCGGGAUAAGAUGGCAAUUUCAGGUCGAAGGGUUAUAUCAUUUUUAUUUAUUUUUUGUAAAUCCCUUGAAUUUUUCUGCCCUUCAUGUGGAAAAAGGGGGUUGAGCUGAAGCGGGGGAAGCUGUUGGAGAUCCAAAUCUUGUUUUCUUGGUGAUUUUAUAUAACCUGGUUUGACCCGGAUCAGGGGAAUAUGAUGAUGUAAGAAAUGGUGACUGGAGUAAAACUAAAAUUAUUUUGACUUUGAAAACUUCCUAAAACCUCUUUGAAACCAAAGAUAUUCUACCAUUGUGUGUACUGUGGAACCAAUAUCUUAAAUUAUUCUACCUGGUAUGUGCAUGUGCAACCCAGCACCCUGUAAGUGAUCCUCUUAUAAUCAAGUCUAUUUAAUAAAAAAAUUAUAUGAUAAUGAUAUAAAAAGCUAGUUAUUUAUUUACCUCCAAGGUAGAAAACACUUCCGUAUAAUCAUGCAAAUAUGGGAAUUUACCAACAAGACAGAAGAGUGCUUUGAGGAAAUACAUAACAUUAAAGUUGACAUAUUUUUCUCCUCUGACUGCACAUCAAAUUGGUCAAAAUGUGCUGACGAGCAGUUUAAUUUUGACUAAACGUCUCUUUUCACACUUGUGCCAGAAUGAAUGAUGUGAGCCUGUGUUUGGGAGGUUAAGAGAUUAGAGAUUUCCUCUCAUUGCAAAAGUUGCCUCUGAUCCUGUUAACGCCCCCCCCCCCCCCGCAAUUUGCCCACACCACUGCCAGAAGAAGUGGGUCAAAGAGCCGAUGAGACAAUGACAACGGGUCCUACUAAAAGAAGACUAACCACCCUGCUCUCCUCACCUGUGAACCUAAACGUGCUGCAACGAAAAUAUACAAAAAGUUCUGUUUUGGUGGACCAAUCCGCAUCGUCUGUAUCCGUGUUCAUUCCCCGUGUUGUUUGACUGUGAAGGUUAACAGCUCCGAAAUCGCACCGAAGCUGAGCGUGAAACAAAAAACGCCUGGAUAACACAACGCUUGGUUUCCAGCGCCACUGCUGUGUAGUAAAUACAGCCUUAACCCCCAAUGGGAUCUACGUGAUGCAAGACAAUGUUAUCAGUACACAGUGCAUGGCUGACAUCAGAGGCACUUUACUUCAUGUAUUUGCUGAUUGUAGCCAUGCAUUUCCUGCACUCUUACGCUUUCAAAAUGUCCUUUUAAUAACUGAGGUGUUAAUCAAGAAUAUAGAGCAAAUGACUCGGUAUGUGAUGUUCAAAACAUCGGUGGCAUUCAUCCUGUGGAAACAUACACAUACAACCUUAAUUCCUGGGUCUCAUUAUUUAAUUCUUCUAACUUUUGAUGCCUGCAAUUACACCGUAAGGGAAUGAUAACCAAUCUAAUGUGGUACAGUUUCAAUAAGGUUGGUAAUGGCACUAUGAUAAAUAAAAUCCAAAGUAAUUACUGACCCUGCACAUUCAGUAAGUUAUCGAACCGCAUUGGGCAUUACAAGGCAUUUUUGGGAUGUUAUAAUGGAUUAUAUUAUAUUAAAUUACCAUACACACAGUGCACAUGCUGCACUAUAUUAGAGGGGAAAAGAGAAAUAACUGGGAUCCACAAAACCUUUUAAAAAGGAAAUACCCACAACAUAUGGCUUCAGCAUAUUCUUUACAGUUGGCUGUCAAUUGUGAAAUUGUUGAAGCAGACGCCCGUGUUAAACACAGCGUCCUCCAUUGUUAUCAGUGGCAAGUCUUUUCUGCAUUGAUUCUACCGUUAAUUAAUAUGAAUUCAAAAAAGAAAGAACUUACAGAGCGUGCAUGUAAUCUAUAGUGACUGUCAAAUAGUGACAAUCACCAGUCUGUGUUUUCGACCUUAUUCCCUCACCAGGUAUGUGACCCACCUAGACCCUGAGCAUCCAGUGCCCCCCGCAUAGACCCCCAGCCACUCAACUGACAUCACCUGGUGGAGUGUGAGAGGCUGAAAACUUGAAAUGGUGUAAAUAUGAAUGAAACAGCCCUUUGCUGCCACAUGUCCUGUCACCGUGACAACGUCAAAAAUGAUCAUUUACAGUCCUGUGUAUUUUUUUCAUAAUUGUCUCUCUCUGAUUUGAAGAAUGCUUGAAAUGAAAUGUUUGCAUGAAUAAAUUAGUACACUUUUUUUAACGUCACAUUGCGAUGACUCGUGGGUAAUUCCUUUGGGUAACGUCAGCGUUGGCUGCAGAAAUGUUUCAUAAAAGGGCUCAAAAUGUCUGCCAGAGAGCCUCAAACGCUCGGCAGAGCGACAGGACUAAACCCUGGUGGAGUUAGAGGCCUCAAAGUGUGUGAGUCAACAAGAGAUGACAAUGGGACCGGGCCUAACAGGCUGGCUGCAGGACUGAGGACCAAAACAGACAAAGUACUGCAGACAUAAAAAGAUCUUCUGUCUCUCCUCUGAUAAACUUUGCAUUGAAACUCUGCAUUUUAACACAUAAUGUAUAACGGCCACAUUCUGAUUCAUGUAUUUCCAAAAUGGCUUAAUUUCAGGUUAUUGGUGGUUAUUAGUGCAGCAAUCCAAGAGGGAGACAGAGAGAUAGACAGGGUGACCAGAUGCAACCAGGCGGGCUGUGCGAUCGCACGUCUAAUUGGUAUUUCAGGAAGGACUCGCUUGACAGUGUGUGCCGAGUGCAAGAAGAGAGCGUCAGCGUAUCGUACGGCUGCUGUCAAUAGUCUCAAGACGAGGAGAGAAGAGGAGACUGCAACGAUUAAGCAAUAUUUUAAAAUGAUGACUUUCUGUGAUUUUGAAAAGGUUUCUGCCCAACUGCAUAAUGUGUGCAGAGGCAAUCAGGAGGUUUUCUGUUAGCGAAUUACACUUAACGCUAAUUAAAUGUGUUCGAGCAUCGGCAGUAAAGUGCUGAUGGAAUCACAGCAUCUUUUUGUCACGGUGAUGCAAAAAAGGAUACAAGGGAUGGGCUGUAAAGCACGAUGGGGAUUUUAUUAAUAAAUACACUAAACAAAAAUCAUUAAAUUAAAAAUUCAACAAGCAGCCAGUAUGGACAACACAUGAAAAAACAGGAUUAGGUAAUUCAAAAAUGUGCACAAGGGUUACUAACAAAGCAAGUGGGCCAACAACCAGCAGACAGAGUAAAUAAACAAGAAACCAAUAACUCACCCAGACACAAGGGCAGCCUGAAGGCUGAUUGGUGGAAGACGAGACGAGACGAACGCAACACAACACGGGGGAUCACAGAAAGAAGGGAGGAAAAAACCACAAACACAAGUCAAACAACCAGGAGAAGAAAGAAAGGAAUCUCAGAUAUAAAACAAGACACAAAAUCCAAACCGAGAUUUGUGACGGUUUUAAUUCUUGUUUAGGAUUAACGAGAACAAUGAAGUAAUAUUUGUCGUGCUUUAAGUGCCAUCUCUAGUGUUAAAACGCCCUCAUGUAGUUGCUACUUUGUCAUUCUAAACACAGCGGGCGAGUUGGAGCAGGGUGGCUGAUCUCAGAGCUGCAGAGUACAAACCCUUUUGUUGUAAUUUUCUUCCUAACUUGUUUUGAUCCUCAACUACCGCUUCCUCUUUUUUGAAGUCUCAUAUCAGAGUGUGUGAAAUACUGGAAUUACACAUACAACAUUAAAAAAAAGAAGGUUUAGGAGAUUUGAGCUCAACGGUAAACAGAUGUUGUUUUUGGAACUCGAUUAAAUAAUUAAUUGUCUGGGUAAACUUGUGGUUGCCAACGGUAUUGUUGCUGCAGGAAAUGAGGUUCCAAAAUGUUUUCUACAUCCAAUUUAAACCAAACACUCAACGCAAGUGUUUUCUCCCUGAAGGGUAAUAGAAAUAGAUGCAUUCUCUUUUGUGCCGUUUCUUUCCUUAGUUGGCCUCCACUCCUGCAAAAUAAAACAUCCUUUGAAUAAAAAAUAAUGAAUGCACACAAACACACCCACACAGGCCUCACCAAACGGUUGCGAAUAUUACCUCUUCUGUGAUUACUGGGACAAAUUUUAGUGAAAUACUGACUAAAUAAUCCCCCCAACCUGCCAGCCCGUAUGUAUGUCAAAAUGUAACGGAAUCACGACUUCGGCAGUGUCUCCUUGUUUCCUCCGAGGACGACUCAUCACUUUGUACUUUGCUCUCAGAAUCUGAGGCGGAAGGCUGCAACAGUAAAAACGCAUCGUCAAAGGUUGUGUGAACAGUUAAAGAAAUAGCCCGCUUUGGGUCUUGCUUAUUGAAGGGGAUGGUUACUAUGACUAAUAGAUUAAAGCUCAAAUCUUUACUACCAUGUUGUGACAAAGGUAAGAUAAUAGAAAAAAUGAACUUGAUUUCAGAUAUACGACACCCAACUCUUGCUCCACAUCUAUCAAUAAGUCCCGGGAACAAACGCUCCUCAAUGAAAUUUCUCCAACAAGCGUGUGCUGUUGAGAUGUUAUGAUGGAUGCGCGUGCUCAUGUGGUUUUAUCUACACCCUCUGUCUUAUCAGCCUCAAACAGCAGGAACUGCAGGGGCGAGAGCCGCCAUGUUCCAUCAUCCUGGUAUUCCUGCUCUCCAUUCCGAUGCAAACUGAAUUUCUUUUGCUCGUAUUUCUCCUGGAAAGUGACGGUGUGAGGUCAUUGCCAGGAGAACAACACGUUGUGUCUUUUUAUAAUGAUGCAGCAUUGUCAAUUAAAUGUGUGUAUGCACCUUGGAACACCGGACUGCUGAGACCUUUCCGCAAAUCCUGACCAACGCAAACCUUUCACGUGCGCUUUAAAGCUGCUGUCUGUAACCUUAAGUGGUCGUGUUGAUGCAGCGACAGGGAGCGAUUUUAAUAUCGCACCUCGUCCUGUGAACCUGCAGACGUAUAGUCAAGAGUGCUGAUGAGUACUUUUCGGUGCUCAAACAUCUGCUUUUUUUCUCACAACCAAGUAGUUGUGAGAAAAGUGUGCAUGAAAUCAAAUGGACUGAAAUUAAGAGUGAAACCGAUCUAAAGUAAAUCCCAAUGUGUAAUAACCUAAACGCAAUAUGUGAAGCAACGGUUGGGUCAAUUGAGCUGUGUUAAUUAUUGACAGCUCAGAUUGUGGGCAGAAGGGGAGAUGGAUGCAUUCUGGUCAAACGGGUGCUGUUCUGUAUUGGUGAACUGGAAAUGUCUCCACUGGGUUCUUGUUUCAUAUUAUGAACUUAAACGAACCUCACAGCAGCAAAGGAAAGCUUCUAGAAAUGAUCCCUGAGAGGAUUAGAGAGACGUUUCCUUCUAGUUGUGCGAGUACUUUCCCAUGAUUUCUUUUAGAGGAGCAACUCUUUUUCAUCGUUAAAUCAUUUUGUGUAUCAAAUUUAAAAAGGAAGGAGCAGCUUGCCUUGACACAGUUUCUUGGAGGUGCGUGUAGGUGUUUUUUCUCUACCGUUUAGAGAGAAACAGGCUAAAAAAGUGAAGAAUGAUAUUUUAUUUGGUUAGAUCAGCUGCGUGUAGAGUGCAAUUGGUCAGUAAAUGAAAUGUGGAGAUUUUUUUGGGUCCAUUUUAGGGAUUUACCAACAACAAGCAGCUUUGCUUCAAAGGCAUUUCUAAGACUUACAGGAAAUCAGUGAAAGGGCUUCAGUAACGUUUGAUUAUUCUCUGUGUAAAAGCUUAUGGCUCAGGAAGUCCUCAUAUCUCAGCUGAUUAAGAAGUAGGUUAUACAACAGAGAGCUUCUGGGUUUGGAUAAGGUUUAAAUUUCAUUUCUCUAUGAGCUUUGAAGUUUAACAGUGCAGAGAGUCGGUGCUGGACUCAAAGAGAAUGGCGCAAAUAUAAAAAUUCAGAUCUGCCAUGAAAUCCAUGGAAGAGAAAUGCUUUGCUCAUUUGAUAAAAUAGCAAAAUAUGUAAAGCAAGACAAUCCUUUUUUGUCCAGGAUCAACUUUAGAAAUAUGACACAAGAAGUUAACUGACCCACCUUUUAAAUUGAGCCCUAUCAUAUGAUUACUGUAAAGUGUGUGUGUGCUCGUCGUAGAGUUGAGCAUGUUAGCAGUUUGCUAAGAGCACAAACAAAAACUGGGAAUGUUAUUAGUUUUUAAUUUAUUUAUAGCGCUGGGAAAAUGUACUCAUGAUGAACAUCAGCAAAGUUACAAUUCAUCUUGAGAAGAACUGUUUUAUGAGACACUUCACUCAAACAACAAAUAAUUACUUUCAGUGGCACUCGAGGAAACAGCGCUGCACCACUGAAGCCACGGCAACAUUAUCUGCGGACCUUUAAUACGUAAACCAGAUUUCAUGGCCCAUCUUCUGAUCUUGGUUCUAAAAUGCUGUGGCAGAAGAUUACCUCGUCACAGCAGCUCUCGCUUUUAUUUUUACACUAUUACAUGUCAUUUAGCCGACGCUUUUAUCCAAAGUGACUUACAUUAAGUGCAUUUCAACCAUAACAAUACAAACCCAAGAAGAACCAGAAAUAAGAAAGUGCAAUUUCAUCAAAUGGGCAGAUUUACAACUUGCUAUAGAUAAGAACCAUUAUAAGACCAAUUUAAGUGCUACAAUUCGUUUAGUGCUUUCACGCCUUUGUACCGAUACGAACGAUAUUUGGCUGUUAGGACUUUCUUCUGGUGUCAGCGCUUUAUUUUAGUCCUAAGUUUCGUUAAUUCUGAACCAAAGUGUUGCCUUGCCGACCACACAAUGGAUGGCAGCCAUCCACACAGCUUUGUCUGUGGCGCGGCUGAGAAAAAGAAUAUUGUAUGGUGGCGACGGCCCAAAACACAAAUUACUUUACCAGUAAGUCGCUUUGGUCGCAUGUUUAGAGGCAAUUACGCAAAUUGCAGCCGGCUGGCAGUUUGUGUCACAAUGGCUUCUGAUAAUAACUUCACCUGCUCCUUCGCAUUAACAUCAGCUUUGGUGUUCUAAAAAGACUUUACUCUUAUCCGUUUCAGACUUUCAGCAUUCCAAGGCUCCGUAGCUUGUUGGGAAUCCAACACGUACUGUAGGAAACGUCCCGUAUACUCUUCCUAUUUCAGCACCCAGAAAUAGAAACACCCGUCAACCCGAUGCACAAUGUAACCUUGUCUCUCCCUGCAGGUCAGGUAACGCAUUUCUAGUUUGUGUGUUGGUACAUCCCACAAAAAUGUCAGUGUAAAAAAAAAAAAAAAAAGCGAAAGAGAGAGCACAUGAAUUAUUUAUCAUCUCCUUCCUGCUACAUUCUGAUUGCACACCGCUGAACUCCUAUUUCCAGCCAUUUACAGGAGCCCACAGUUCACGGGCUCUGACCAAAGAGUUUGGUGAGCAUUUACCUGGCUCAUUACCCGUCGCCCCGCCGAUCCUGUUCUCUGGCUCUCCGUGUCCCGAACAGAGAGGCUUUUUUUUUUACAUUCUUUUCAUUCAUUUCCACCUCUGAGAUGAAUAAAACAGAAGACGGAUGUGGGAUACUGUUGUACUACGACGGGUGCAUUCAAAUCUGGGAUGUAAUUGUGAAUCUCGGACAUUCCCUGCCGUAAAUUUGGGUGCAUCUUCAAAUGCACAACUUUUUCUCAGCAUCCUGAAGAGCUUGCAUGAAGAUGUAAGGGUGCAAAAUGUAAUUACUGCGUCUUCCUGCAUUUGUAUCCCAUGUGGGACAAAAGGUGCUGUGGUGGAGGCGAUGAGAUUCUUCUGGGUGAUCGCUUUGAAUUCAAGAGGCAUUUAGCAGAUAAAGCUAUUUAAUACGUGGCUAUAGAUAAUUAUGUAACUGUAUCAGGAAAUAGGUUGACAUGUGAUAGUAUAGAAAUAUGGAGGAGAAACUGGUGUUUUAGGCAGCAUGGUGGAGCAUAGAAAAGGAAAGUUUGAUGCAGGCCAUCGACAUGAAACAUAAAGGCCAUAAAGUUGGCACAGCAAGGCAUUAAUAAUUCAUCGACCCGCACAGCCGUAUUCUACGGUUUCUUGCUCUGUGGCUGAACCGACUUCGUGUCAAUACCGGAUGCCAGUACACACUAUUCAUUCAUGCAUAGUGCAUUUCCUGCUUUGUUAAGGAAUAAUGAACACACAAAAACCUGCAGCAACCUUAUAACAGGUAUUUGUGCAUUAGUUCAACAUCAUUUAAAAAGAACAAAUCAGAUAAGAAUCCAGUAAGUCAAAAACAACUAUUUCCUUUAGAAUCUAGAAAUAUAAUUAAGCAACAAUCUUAACAUAAAGAGGCCCAUCAACAUUUUUGGCAAAACUGACCUACUUUUUAUCUUUCUUUUUUUUCCCCAAGUCCACCUGUUGCAAAUGUUCUUGUUUCACACCUCGCUGGGAAAACAGUUUUUCACACCUCGAUAAAGGUGCCGGUGUACUUCAUCCAAAGUACUCGACAGAUGAUUUGAACACUGGCUGGCACCUGUUUUUUUUUUUUUUCAGAAAUAGCUUUUUUAAAAUAAUUUCUCAAGGAAAUCUUCAAAAGUUUCACAUACAACUAAACUGCAUUCUAAAGUACUUUAAAGAAAGUAAGGUCAUUCCAGGAUUACAGUCUUCAUUUUAGACACAUAUGUACCUAAUGUUGUAAGUUUAAACAGAAGACGAACCCAACAGAAAUAGCACGGUUCACUAAAACUGUUGUGGUUAUGGACGUAAAUUAAACCAUUGACUCCAAAAGCGAGUCCCACUGGACCAAACUUUAACUGUGGCCAUUUGAAAUACCUUCAAACCUUUAGUUAUUCUCCCCAUCCAUCAUCCUCAGAAAUAACAAAAUAUAACCUUUGUUGGAGUAUUAUACUAGUAUUUCAUGAUUGACAGCCAAUGAAUUGCUUAAAUUCUUAGUGCUUGUCAUUCAAGACUGUGAUUUUUGAUCAAAACAAUCACAACAAAAUUAAAGUUGCAGGAUGGAAUAAUCAGCCUAAAUUGUACACUUAGACUGUUUGAUUACAAAGGUUUGCACUACUCACCAGGAUGUGAGGUGGCUGAUGGUGUUUUCAUUAGCUUUUAUGCACGUGGGGGUUUGUUAUUACUUGUCUUAGUUGGAGAGAAGAUCAUUGCCAGAAAUUAAAUUACUUUUGCCAUCAGCGACGGCCGCAGGUUUGAGGGAUUAUGGAAAUAACUUUCUCUCGGAAACCCAAAAUAUUAGAAGUCAUUUAGGCCUCUUUCAAGAUGAAUGGCUGUGCAGAGAAAAGAGCAUCCGCUCGUACCACGCGGGGCCAUUCAGAUUUAGUAGAUGGAAGCGUGUGUGGGAUCAGCAACACCGCACAGCACAUUAAACUGGCUUUAAUCAUUGCAGCAACAAUCUGUAAACACAACACUGCUAAAUCCUUCCCCCAUACAGAUUUCUGGCAAAGUAAACAGUCUACACUAUUUAGGAUCCACAUCAAGCAGACUGGUGCUUUGGGCCACCUCAUUAAUGCGAGGCCCAAAAUUCCCCUUUAGCUCGGUUUUUAGCUCCGUCGGCUCCUGGGAAAACUCAGUGACCUUUAUUCACCAGUUUGGCACAAUGUGGAUAUUUUUUUAAAGUUGAUCCUCAGUCAUUUGUCCAAAACAGUGUGUGUUCAACAAACAAGUGUUCAAUACAAAACAGUUAAAGGAAAUAACGGGCUAAUGUUUCUAAAAUGUUUCUAAAUAAGUGUGGAAGUAAUGGAGUAAUGGUGGAAAGAAACUUAGCUCAACAAACAGACUGGGAGUAGGCUGAAGCUAAUCCAACCAUCUCCAAAUAACCAUCUUGAUACUAGUGGUUAUUGAUCUUUAAUGAAAACCCUCAGCAAUAAAACAAGUUUUCUGAAAUAUCAAGCUAUUAAUCUCCAGCGCGGCCAACGAAGGUGAAGCGUGUUUGUCAAGUGAAGCCACAGACCCAAAUUGUAACGCAGCCGUUCUUAAGAUCAGAGAUCUUUGCAUGAUUAUUCGACAUUAAGGCCCUGAUCAGCUAAAAGUCCAAUGUUGUAUUUUUCGAGCCGGAGAGAAGCGGUAAUUCAGUGUGAUGAAGUCGCCGUCCCCCAACCAAAAGGAGCAGAUUCUCUGGAAUGAAUAUUAUAUCUCCAUUGACAUUAUGCACAAGAUGAAUCGUGUCUUUGUCCUGAGAAAAUGAAAAGGAUGCAGCAUGCAAGACGUCCGAUGUAUUUGUUUAUGUAAAAUGUCAAAUUUCCUUCAUCUGCUCGCAGUCUCACAGCAGGAAGCAACGGAUUGUAGUUUCCUUUCAUGAAUUUAAGUGUGCUUCAUCUCAGAGAUGCGAUAACUGUUUUUUAUUAAAAGGACAUUUUGACCUGACAAGUGCAUUUCAAAAGGCCGAGGACAGGAUCAUUCAUUGUAUUCAUCUCGCUGCAUCUCGAGUCUGGGUGUUAAACCAUCAUGCUGAUGCUAUGAUAUUGAUGUACUGAUUGAUUGUGUUUCUGUGAGAAAAUGUUGGUUUCAAUGUGUGUUCUCUUUAAAUUAAAGCAAAUUUAAGAUUGGCAGCACAUUUGUCUGCUAUCAAUAUGAUUAUGCAUAUUGAUCAAAUGGAUUUGCUGUGAUUGGUUGCUGCCAAUCUUCUCUUCUCCACGCUGUUUUAUUUCACCGUCACUUCCCAAUGUCACCUAUUUUGAAUGUUUUGAGUGCUUUUCACCUCCUUUACUUUAAUUGGACAGUAUAAGUCUUCCAUUUAUAUUAUUAAGUAAAAACACUGUUAAUGGUCUUUGAAGGUGUGCUGUUUAAUUCAUUAAUUUGCUAAAUGUUAAAUAUUUAUGGUAAAACCUUGAGAGGACAUGGCUAAUUUCUUGUUAUGGUGCUGCCUGCAUUCUACUUCGCUGUACUCACACAAAUACAUUAUUGUGAUCAUUACCAUUGUCAAUACAAAAGAAUAUUGAUUAUCGUUGAUUCAAGUGGAUGUUAAGUACCUGUUCAAAUAGAAUGUAAAUGUUACCGUUUUUUGUGCAAUGUAAACAUAGCAGGGAGAAAACCCAAAGUGGAUCUCUUCUUUCCCCAAAUGAAAAGGUUACAACUGUUUAUACGCCACUACGUCACUAACUAAGAUGAGCUGAGCCAGUGAGCGGCAGAUUGGAGUUCAGUUGGACGCGGCCUCGUCGCCCUCCCUUUUUCUCUUCUUCAAUCAUCACUUGCACAUUGGCUUCAUCAUUUCACUCAUGAAUACCUGAUCUCCGAUGUAUCAGCCCUCAUGGCUUAAUCAUGGCCGACAUUAAGCUCUUCUGUCGGUGCCGAAGGUUAAUAUUGCCAUUAAGAAGCUGUUAUUCACCAGCAGGACCCUGAGCUCCUCCCAGUUCGCGCAGAAAUCAACAAGUCUCCCCUGCUCUUCAAGGAUAAUUAGUCAAAGUUGUCUUUUAUGCAGUGACCAGACAUUUUCAUGGUGCAGAAUGCUGGAAACAAGGUGGAGGAGAGCAGGGAAAACAGUGAAGUUGCAUGUGGAAACAACGAGCUGAUGGAGGCUUGGAAGCUCCGGAUUGAAAGAUAAACCGUGCACAUCGGGCCUUCUUUCUCCAGUAAAACUUCUCCAGCUUGGUGGGGUUUAGUGGCUCAGCUGUAUGUUUGUAAAAGGUCACCCACAGGGAAAAAGAAGAGAGGCACAAAUUACACAGUUAGUGCAAAAUAUAUUGAGUGGUUUAGCUUGAAAUCCUCAUAUGAAAAUGCUUUUGGUUCCGAUUCCAAUUAAAUGAGUGAAGAUUAAUAAUUGACAACUAUAUGCCAUUUAAGUGUCUGCUAAACACCAGGCCUGUAUGAGCUGUGUAUUUAUUCUUGCCAUUGUAAAUAAACAACCUUACAUUGUUUGGUUGCAUCUUUAUUUUGUUGCUGAUAAACAUGGAACGAGUAAUUGGUAAGAGCUCAACCGUAGAAACGGAUGCUUCCUUUUAAUCCCCUUGUGAUUGGUAAUUUCCUCAAGGCUUGCAGCAAGAACUAUAUAAUUACAGUUAGGCAAAGUUAUUCAGUUUAAUAUAUUGAGUUAAUAUUCUUUAUAUAUAAUAUCACAUUUUCUUAAAAAGAGGAGUUCCAUUCGAAGCCAAUUUAAUAAUAAAAACUCCAAUAAUGUAUUAUUAGAUAUUGCCUCAUUUUCAAAUAUUCAAUUUACUUUACUCGCAUAAAGUAUAAGUUACACCUGGUCAGGAACAGACUCAUGGUUUUCAGCACUUGAAUGCAUAAUGUCACUUUUGUCAUAUCUUAUUAGUGUAAUUGCUUUGUGCACGAGUUCCGUCCUCCUCACACGUUGAAGAUCUUUGGCUCGAUGACAACUUGUUAAUUUGGCCGUCCUCUCAGCCUUCAGAGAUGUCUCUCCCAGUGUAAAUUACCAAAAGGAGCAGAUGUUCUUUGUUAGCACUCAUUUCAGCACCUUGUCCUUGAAACAAAUCCCAUCUGAAUAAAGGGAUUUAAUCUGCUCAACCGCUGGCACUCGGCUUGUUGCCACACCACUGCCUAUAUGGGUCAUUACGUUGCACACGUUCAUUGUGAUUAUAUAGAACAUUGUGCCGGGUCAAAGAAGAAAAAAAAAGAUGAUGAUACUUCAAGCUGUGAUCAAGAAGCAUUUUAGUCACCUUGAAACCUGCAUUCACAUGUGAAACUAAUGUUGAAACUACUGAGAGUAGUUUACAUCUCUUUCCGUUUCCUCAGUGGUUUAAUCUGUUGUCCCCCCCAAAACGCAGUCUAAAUUUCGGAAGAUAUCUUUAAGGAUCCCCACGGAGGACAGAAAGAAGGAACCCGUCAAAUGAAACAUUUAAGCCUCCCAGUGAUUUUAAGUUGCACACAAACAAACAAGAACGAGAUCGAGCAGCGACUUCAGCCUCGCAGCUGCUCUGUGUGCGCGUACAAGUCACAGCACUACAGUGAGGGAGAAAUCCAGACGGGGCUCCGCAUGCCUCAAAUCCUAAAGGGUUUCCAUCACGGUUGAUGCUGUUUUUGAUCAAAUACAAACUAGUUUAAAAGGCAGCUGAGGGAUGUCAGCUUUUAAACUCUGCAGGCCGUCUGUGUCCUGCAGCGCUGCCGGCACUGCAGGUACUGUGGUGUGUAAAAACUGUCAAUAGUUACUGCGUUGUACUAUUUGAGAUAUUAAUGGUCAGUUUCACACAAAUUUAAUUGGAACGAGUAAGAAAGGAUCACGUUCAGUGUUAUUUUUGUCAACAACUGCAUUAAUGCAUAAAAAUAAAAAAUCUUGCACUAUUUUCAUUGCAGUAUUUGUGUAAUCAUAUUUACAUUCAUAUCAGUAACAAAAAUGAAAUUUUCGGCAGAUAUACAUUAUGAAUGUGAAUUUAUUAAAAUAUUUAAGUCAAUUGUGUGGCUUGGAUGGGAUUGCAUGACAUCAUAAGCACAAUUCAUGUAGCUCAUAAUGUCACAGAAAGACGCAAGUAUUCAUAAUAAAAUGACAACAAAACAAAAUGCAGAGGCCUCAGUCACAAUCGUAAAAGAAGAUGAAAAGAUC
This is a long non-coding RNA of Gasterosteus aculeatus aculeatus (three-spined stickleback), 13508 nucleotides long. The record is from Ensembl. Lineage: Eukaryota; Metazoa; Chordata; Actinopteri; Perciformes; Gasterosteidae.